UUCUUCGGAACUUGAGACCGGCGCACGGGUGCGUAACGCGUAUGCAAUCUACCUUUUACAGAGGGAUAGCCCAGAGAAAUUUGGAUUAAUACCUCAUAGUAUUAUGGCUCGGCAUCGAGUUAUAAUUAAAGUCACAACGGUAAAAGAUGAGCAUGCGUCCCAUUAGCUAGUUGGUAAGGUAACGGCUUACCAAGGCUACGAUGGGUAGGGGUCCUGAGAGGGAGAUCCCCCACACUGGUACUGAGACACGGACCAGACUCCUACGGGAGGCAGCAGUGAGGAAUAUUGGACAAUGGGCGCAAGCCUGAUCCAGCCAUGCCGCGUGCAGGGUGACGGUCCUAUGGAUUGUAAACUGCUUUUAUACGAGAAGAAACACUCCUUCGUGAAGGAGCUUGACGGUAUCGUAAGAAUAAGGAUCGGCUAACUCCGUGCCAGCAGCCGCGGUAAUACGGAGGAUCCAAGCGUUAUCCGGAAUCAUUGGGUUUAAAGGGUCCGUAGGCGGUUUAAUAAGUCAGUGGUGAAAGCCCAUCGCUCAACGGUGGAACGGCCAUUGAUACUGUUAGACUUGAAUUAUUAGGAAGUAACUAGAAUAUGUAGUGUAGCGGUGAAAUGCUUAGAGAUUACAUGGAAUACCAAUUGCGAAGGCAGGUUACUACUAAUGGAUUGACGCUGAUGGACGAAAGCGUGGGUAGCGAACAGGAUUAGAUACCCUGGUAGUCCACGCCGUAAACGAUGGAUACUAGCUGU
Molecule: ribosomal RNA, 747 nt
Filed under: uncultured bacterium
Lineage: Bacteria
Description: bacterial SSU rRNA
Rfam family: Bacterial small subunit ribosomal RNA
Source: RNAcentral